Molecule: transfer RNA, 75 nt
Filed under: Acidimicrobiia bacterium
Lineage: Bacteria; Bacillati; Actinomycetota; Acidimicrobiia
Description: tRNA-Ile
Rfam family: tRNA
About the family: Transfer RNA (tRNA) molecules are approximately 80 nucleotides in length. Their secondary structure includes four short double-helical elements and three loops (D, anti-codon, and T loops).
Source: RNAcentral
GGGCCCGUAGCUCAGUCUGGUCAGAGCAGGCGACUCAUAAUCGCUUGGCCGUAGGUUCAAGUCCUACCGGGCCCA